UCAUACGCAUGUAUUAUACUCAAAAGAGUGAUAGUAGGUAUAAAAUCAACACCUCAACUUUGUGCACCCAUAUCUCUUUCAUAAAAACUCCAAUUGACUCAAAAUAUGCACCAAAACCAUAGACAAAAAUUUGAACUUACUGAUCUUACCCUCCAAAAGCUCAAAUUGCUCAAAAGUAUAAUCCUAAUGCCUAAUAUGGCCUGAGACAGCCUCCUUGAAGCCCAUUGGAUAUAAUUUUUGACCAAUAGGAAUAGAUAUUUAUAUCAUCCAUCUCCAUUCAUUCAUAUGGAUGCCCUAACUACUUUUUUUCCUACCAAAAUCC
RNAcentral lists this long non-coding RNA (322 nucleotides) under Physcomitrium patens. RNAcentral describes it as "long non-coding RNA (PPAT_LNC007680)". Lineage: Eukaryota; Viridiplantae; Streptophyta; Bryopsida; Funariales; Funariaceae. The record is from RNAcentral.